GAUGAACGCUAGCUACAGGCUUAACACAUGCAAGUCGAGGGGCAGCGGGAUUGAAGCUUGCUUCAAUUGCCGGCGACCGGCGCACGGGUGAGUAACGCGUAUCCAACCUUCCGUACACUCAGGGAUAGCCUUUCGAAAGAAAGAUUAAUACCUGAUGGUAUGAUGAGAUUGCAUGAUAUCAUCAUUAAAGAUUUAUCGGUGUACGAUGGGGAUGCGUUCCAUUAGGUAGUAGGCGGGGUAACGGCCCACCUAGCCAACGAUGGAUAGGGGUUCUGAGAGGAAGGUCCCCCACAUUGGAACUGAGACACGGUCCAAACUCCUACGGGAGGCAGCAGUGAGGAAUAUUGGUCAAUGGACGAGAGUCUGAACCAGCCAAGUAGCGUGAAGGAGGAAGGUCCUACGGAUUGUAAACUUCUUUUAUAAGGGAAUAAACCCUCCCACGUGUGGGAGCUUGUAUGUACCUUAUGAAUAAGCAUCGGCUAACUCCGUG
Molecule: ribosomal RNA, 490 nt
Filed under: uncultured bacterium
Lineage: Bacteria
Description: partial 16S ribosomal RNA
Rfam family: Bacterial small subunit ribosomal RNA
Source: RNAcentral